AGUGAAUCCCUGCAAUUCUGAAAUCAAACAAGCAAGGAGGUAAAACUCCAAGGAGCCCGGAUUUAAUUCCAGAGAAUCUAGGAACAAACAGAAGGAGAGGAAAAAAGGAAAAAAAAAAGGCAUUUCCAACUGCAUCUAUUUAUGUCUCACUUUGGGGGCAAAGUGUGAGCACUUGUGGAUCUAAUUCUUGGCAGAACUUCAGGCAUCGUUCUUCACCAUGGACAGCCUGGAAAAAGACCAAUUCGAAGGAACCGAAUACCAGCUCAAAGAAGGCAGGGCGACCACCACCUCUGGUCCUUUCGGCUGUGGCCCCCACUGUGCCAUUUCCCCCCAGAAGCCUUGGAUGCUUGAACUUCAAACGCCUGCUUUUUCUUCUUCAAUCGAGAGACAAUCGGCUCAGCCCGGUUCGUCAACCCUGAUUUAAUUCACCGAGCCGCCUGAGCCUUCCCGACAGGUGGGUGAAUAAACA
Molecule: long non-coding RNA, 469 nt
Organism: Pantherophis guttatus
Lineage: Eukaryota; Metazoa; Chordata; Lepidosauria; Squamata; Colubridae
Source: RefSeq, a predicted model, not a curated record